AGAGUAAAAGCGAGUUCGUUAAGUGUUUGCUGAACGGGGAGUUGUCAGCAAAACGAAAGCAUUAUUGCUGCGGUUCACGCUUUGCAUCCCGCU
RNAcentral lists this non-coding RNA (93 nucleotides) under Ruminococcus flavefaciens. RNAcentral describes it as "THF riboswitch". It matches the Rfam family "THF (Tetrahydrofolate) riboswitch aptamer". From Rfam's summary of the family: THF riboswitch presents a pseudoknot that joins P1-P2 and the loop of P3 and two THF binding. The record is from RNAcentral. Lineage: Bacteria; Bacillati; Bacillota; Clostridia; Eubacteriales; Oscillospiraceae.